UUUUAUUUUAGAAAUGAUGGCAGGAUUUUUUUUCCUGCCGCCUCUUCUAUCAGAACAAAAGUCUUGAUUUCAAAACAAAGAUGCUCAAUAUGAUAAUUUUUUUUUCUUCUCUCUCUCUGCUUUGGUGGAUUAGGAGAGAGGAAAGUGUCAUCAAUGACAUUGGAUAGUCAGCUAGACAUCAGAAAGGAACGUUCUCUAUUCAUUCAAGAACUUGAUCGUUUCAUCUUCUGCAGAAACGCCCUCGGGGUAUCUUCUGUUCACAACGAACAAACGGAACUUGAUAAGAUGGUUUCUUCUUUAGCUGGAUCAGUAAAAUAUGUCGCUUUAUGCAGCGAGAAAAACGUUUGCUUUAAAAGAACUUCUAUCCCCCUUUCUCUCUCUCUCUCUCUUUCUCUUUCUCUCUCUACUGGAAGAAAUACAAAGAAUUAAUCUUUUGUAGUUGGUGAG
Molecule: long non-coding RNA, 447 nt
Filed under: Androctonus crassicauda
Lineage: Eukaryota; Metazoa; Arthropoda; Arachnida; Scorpiones; Buthidae
Source: RNAcentral